This 938-nucleotide long non-coding RNA is filed under the name Rattus norvegicus (Norway rat). RNAcentral's name for it is "long non-coding RNA NONRATT012934". The record is from RNAcentral. Lineage: Eukaryota; Metazoa; Chordata; Mammalia; Rodentia; Muridae.
CCUCUAGUUCACGUCAAAUUUCGCUAAAAGCAGAUUUUAAGAUUGUUAAGUAGAUAUUUUUCUUACAGCGUUUUCUGCAAAACAUACUAUCUACUCGACUUGCUUUGUGGCUAUUAAAAAGGUAAUUUCCUAAGUAGAUCUGAGUUGGCAUAUGAACAAAUACUUUUCUUCAGUAACUACAGAACAUGAUUUGGCAAUUUUUAAGUCCGUGAAUCAGCACAGCGUUACUACAGUGGUACCUGUGCGCAGAGAUGCAAAUGUUCUUGAGAUACUAACAGAUGGAUAUUAGUCUUCAUGUCCCACAUAGAUUUCAGUAAGUGUUACACAUACCUGUGAGCCAGAUGCCGAAUAGAUUUUUUUCUAUUAAUUUCAUUCCUUUGUUAGAGGAGAAAUAAACUAGUUUUAAAAUGUUUGUAUAUAACUCACUCACAGUUACAAUUCUUCAUGUAUUGCACAGAAGGAUUAAUUUUUUAAAAAUAUAUACUGUGGGUUGGAAAUAGAUAUUUAAUCUUGGGGAAACCUUUAGAAGAUGUUUGUAGAACAAUUUUUGUUUUGAAGAUUUACAGCAAUAACCAGAAGGAAGAGUAAGAAGGCAGAAAAAAAAAUAGUCUGGGGUGAUUUCUUUUCAAACCAAUUUUUCUUGUUAAUUUACAGUUAAACCUAGGGGGCAAUCCGGAUUGGCCCUCCCCCUUUUGUAAAUAACCCAGGAAAUGUAAUAAAUUCAUUAUCUUAGGGUGAUCUGCCCUGUCAAUCAGACUUGGGGAGAUGGCGGUUUGAUUACAGAUAUUCAGGCCUUCGGUUUGUUUUCGAGAUAAAGCAGGUUCCUAUCUGCCGCUCCUAUCUAGAGGCAACACUUAAGCAGUAAUUGCUGUUGCUUGUUGUCAAAAUUUGAUCAUUGUUAAAGGAUUGCUGCAAAUAAAUACACUCUAAUUUCAGUC